AUGGGCAUAUCGGAUAACUUCUCACAUACCGACGGGAGAAUCAUUGUUCAACCUGGCCUAUGAAAUAGAGACGAUGAUUCUACUUGAGAUCGGAUUGCCAUCAACAAGAGUGGAACAGUAUAAUGAGCCGAGUAAUUCAGAAUGUCGAAAAGUCAAUCUAGACUUAAUUUCGAAAGUCUGACAGCAAGUUCAAAUUCGGAUGGCAGCAUAUAGGCAA
This 217-nucleotide long non-coding RNA is filed under the name Elaeis guineensis (African oil palm). RNAcentral's name for it is "long non-coding RNA (EGUI_LNC019140)". Lineage: Eukaryota; Viridiplantae; Streptophyta; Magnoliopsida; Arecales; Arecaceae. The record is from RNAcentral.